GCUCCAGACAAGCUCUUGUAGCAUCGGUUGUCAGCGGGCCCCUGUCCUAGCCGCGAUCCAGGCUAGCGGCAGAUUGUGGCCUGCGCGAACGGUGCUCGGCUUGCGAUUAAUUUUUCAUCGCCGGGGCGCGGUAGCAAUAUGGCAGCUCGCUCAGCCGGCCCUAUGGCUCCCAGGCGCGUAUGCAGCGCUUUGCAAGCGCGCCCGAGGAGGGGCCUGGAAUCUGGCUGCGGGUUGCCUAGCGUUGCAGGAUGAUCUCCUUUUCACGUGCGCAAGCUAUAGCCACGCAUUUUGCUCAACUCGCUUGCUGCGCGCUUGCAGCAGGCAGUGCUUGGGCAGCUUGCGGCUGCUAGCUUUGCGCUUACUUAAAGGAGGAAGCUGG
Molecule: ribosomal RNA, 379 nt
Filed under: Proseicela bivittata
Lineage: Eukaryota; Metazoa; Arthropoda; Insecta; Coleoptera; Chrysomelidae
Description: eukaryotic LSU rRNA
Source: RNAcentral